Molecule: ribosomal RNA, 248 nt
Filed under: uncultured bacterium
Lineage: Bacteria
Description: partial 16S ribosomal RNA
Rfam family: Bacterial small subunit ribosomal RNA
Source: RNAcentral
GAUCCUGGCUCAGGAUGAACGCUGGCGGCGUGCCUAACACAUGCAAGUCGAACGAAGUUAUGCAGAGGAAGUUUUCGGAUGGAAUCGGUGUAACUUAGUGGCGGACGGGUGAGUAACGCGUGGGAAACCUGCCCUGUACCGGGGGAUAACACUUAGAAAUAGGUGCUAAUACCGCAUAAGCGCACAGCUUCACAUGAAGCAGUGUGAAAAAACUCCGGUGGUACAGGAUGGGUCCCGCGUCUGAUUAG